AUGGAAGUGGACUUCUGCAUUCUGAAUUCUAAGGAGAGAAAAAGGGUCAUCAAAAUAGGAUAUAGACUCCCAGAUCGAAGGAACUGCAAGAGAGGGAUCACCAGUGGUGGGCAGGUCUCCAAAAACAUUACAAAAUCACUUAUGAUAGUGUCAGCUUUAAAUAAAUACUGGCGCCAGAGGAGUGAAAAGCUGGCUUAGAACAAGAUCCACUCAAUGCGGUGCUGUGAAGGGUCCUGUGAUCAUCAAGUGCCCCAACUCUGGACUAAAUAGAGGCUUACUGAACCAAUGCAGAAAUGCCAAGUAGCUUUUUCAUACAUCAAUUAAGAAAAGAUGCAGAGAACAAUGAGCCAUUCUAUCCUGGGACAAAGAGUGUGCCAGCUAAUGAUGAAACCCACCUUAUCCACGUCGCUCCAGCUAAGAACAGCACUAAAAUAAUUUCAAACAGGAGCCCUCUGCUAAGUAGUCCGGGGUAAACUGGGUGAAUGACACUCCUGCCUCAGUUCAAAUCCCUUUUAUAAAUAAAACAGAGAGUCAUCUGGGGUGCCUCACUACUCUAUCUGCCUGUGCUGUUGCCUGAAGGAUCCUAGGCCAUUACUUGACAUUGCCUGCCACUGUGUGGUUCCACUCCAGGUUUCUGAGGCCUUCUUGGCAUGCAGGUGUUGACCGCACAGAUCCCCCAACUACAGAAGGCAUGUCUUUGGCCUUCAACACUUCCCCUGCUUACAUUUCAGAUGUUCCAGAGUAACACUGAGGUUAAAGUGGUGGAGCUUUCUUGCCCUGACCAGGCAGGCCACCCUUCCAGCACCUCCACGUAUUUACCAACCUGGAAGUUCUCUGAAUCUCAUCAAUGAGGAUUUUUAUGGAGGCUUCAUUACACCGGCAUCACUGAGUAAAUCACUGGUCAUUUGUAGUUGAUUCAACCACCAGCCCUUCUCUCCUCUCCUCCCUGCAGGUCAGGAGAGGGGGCUGAAAGUUCCAACCCUGUAGUCACAAGGUUGGUUCCUAUGGUCAAUCAGCCCUCAUCCUGUUCUCAUCUAGGGGAUUUCCAAA
This is a long non-coding RNA of Acinonyx jubatus (cheetah), 1050 nucleotides long. RefSeq lists it as uncharacterized. The record is from RefSeq and is a predicted model, not a curated record. The transcript is spliced from 3 exons. NCBI's taxonomy places the organism in Eukaryota, Metazoa, Chordata, Mammalia, Carnivora, Felidae.